AAUUUAUAUUGAAACAAACAGCUUUCGUUCCGGGAAAAACAGUCAGUUACUAAACAGCUUUCGUUCCGAUAAAAUUUCUUUCUUUUCUUCCAGAAACAAACAGCUUUCAAUUUUCUUUGUUCUUUGUUGUUUUGAAAAUUUAGUUACUGCGUGACUUUCCUAACUUCUUAUAAUAGAACCCGGAAAAAGGCUUUUUAGUGUGAUUUAAAUUGCACCAUAUAUUUCAAAGAUCAUAUUGAUUUCAUUUUGCUACCUUAAUUUUAAAAUAUAUAUAUUCAACUCCAUGCAAGUGGUUGUGUUAUAUGUAUAUAUAUAUAUAUACAUGUACAUAUAUAUAUAUAUACAUAUAUAUAUAUAUACAUAUAUAUAGUUCCUGCUUAUGUUUUUGCUGUGAUGCUUUUGCAUUCUAUAGGGGCAAUUACUAGAUUGUCCAGCAACAAAGCUCUUACUCAAGCAAUGCAAACUUGCAAGAAAUUGGAGUAUUUACCUAGAGAGUACGAAGAGUUCUUUUGAUUUUGUGUGCGUUGUAAGUGUAUAUUUUAUGUAAAUCACUACUUUUAUUGUAUAAUAUGUAUUAUGCAGGGUUGAAAUGCCUUUUCCCAAGUAAAUUUCAGUAGUGAGGGAAAAAAAAAA
Molecule: unclassified non-coding RNA, 633 nt
Filed under: Broad bean wilt virus 2
Lineage: Riboviria; Orthornavirae; Pisuviricota; Pisoniviricetes; Picornavirales; Secoviridae
Description: partial miscellaneous RNA
Source: RNAcentral